This 1418-nucleotide long non-coding RNA is filed under the name Parus major (Great Tit). RNAcentral describes it as "lncRNA (ENSPMJG00000004230.1)". Lineage: Eukaryota; Metazoa; Chordata; Aves; Passeriformes; Paridae. The record is from RNAcentral.
GUAAAUUGUCUGGAGACUGAUUGAUCAAAACUAUCAAGUCCAAAUUAAUUAUAACCAUCAUUGUUUUCCUGCUGAUUUUUGGCUGUUCCUGGGCACUGAGCAGGUGUUUGAAUCAAAUUGGGGUUGUCUUGGUGAUUAAUGCUGUCUCAAUAGUCAAAAUUAUUAGUUAUGCAACAUUUGACUUUUUUUUUUUAUUUUUGCAGAAUCACUGAGGUUGAAAGGGACCUCUCAAGAUCAUCUAGUCUCUUUUGCUUUUGAACUCUCCACAGAUGCAGAUCACAGUGUCUUGGAGAUUUAUUCCAGGGUUUGGAAUGUCCACCUUGAGAGGGGUAAAAAAGAAUGCCUGGAGGGAUCAGCUGAGGCAAGGGUGCCACUGUGCACUGCUGUACAAAUGUGCAGUGUGUCACAAUUCCUGCCUCAAAGAGCAGAGAAGCGGUGAGAUGAGGCCAAGGGCCAGGGGAAUUAAGUAGUGUGCCCAGGAAGAUGUCUUGGAGUUCAUUCCAAUCUCCUCUGGAUUCACGGUGGAUUUGAAUAUGAAGAAUUGGAGGGCUAUGCCUUUGAAGACGAGAGCAUAUAAUACAGACAUUAUAUGGGAGGAUACUGGAAGUCAGUGCACAGAUUCAAGGCCUCAUGGACAGAUGACUGAACAAAAAAAGGUGAUUUUAUUUGCAACUUACUCGGUGGUUGUUAUCAGAAACAUGAAGAUGUCUGUACAAAAUGUGUAAUGCUGCUAAUAAUAGCAUAGCUGGAAAAAAGAGACAGCACAGUUAUUGAACUGAAAGUUCUAAAUUCUCCUUGCCUGGUUGGUUUGAAGUAGUGCCUUGUCUUUAAUGGUAAUAUUUUAUUUAGAGUAGAAUGCAUUGUGAUUCCUGUGUUCAUGGCAUAUCAGACAUGGAAAGAAGUUCUUUUUGAGAAGCCAUUAUUAAAGGAAAAAUGAAAGGGGGGGAACAUGGCAGUUAUUCUGAAAAACUGCACAGCCAAAUAAUAACUGUAAAACAUACAUCCUAGAGACCUGAAGGUGUUGAGCCCUCUGGGUGCUGUGGGAGCAUGCACAUCCUCACAUAAAACAAUACUUGAGUAGAAUUAAUUACAUUAGUUUUGUUAUAAACGAGCAGAAACAGCGACCAAUUAUUUCACUGAACUGUCCGAAAUUUCAAGUGUUGGUGGAUAAGCUCUGUCUGUUCCAUCCAUGACUGAAAAACCUGAAAGGAACUUUGGCACCUGUAUAGUCUUUGUGAAUGUAUAUGCCGUAAGUUAUUUCUUUUGAUUUUGUAUAACCAUUAGGAGAAGGAAGCUAGGCUAACAAGGUGGGUUUUUUUUCCCUCCUCUGAUUAAAAAAGUUGGAAUUUCCUGAAGUGUCUAAAAAGAAAUUGUAAUUAGAAUUGAAUAAAUGUAGGAAUUCUCAGAUAAUAUUUCCA